CAACCGCUGAAGCAGUGGAUUUAUUUGUUUAAACGGGAAGACCCUAACAACCCUUCGACUUCCUUGCACCUGUCUGAAAUGACAGGGACCUUUGGGAACCCAGUAGCCGGGCCAACACAGCUGUUGUUAGGUUGUGUUCAGAGAUUGUGGGGUUAAUUCCCUAACGGUCGCAAACCCAGUCCUUUCUGCCUAUCGUUAAGCCGGGCACUCUAAGGAGACUGCCGGCGAUAACUCGGAGGAAGGUGGGGAUGACGUCAAGUCAUCAUGCCCCUUACGGUCUGGGCUGCACACGUGCUACAAUGGUUGGUACAAAGGGUAGCGAACCCGCGAGGUGGAGCUAAUCCCAGAAAGCCUCCCCAGUUCAGAUUGCAGUCUGCAACUCGCCUGCAUGAAGUAGGAAUCGCUUGUAAUCGCGUAUCAGCAUGUCGCGGUGAAUUCGUUCCCGGUCCUUGUACACACCGCCCGUCACUCCAUGGGAUUGGGAAGCACCCGAAGUAGUUACCUUAACCAUAGGGAGGGCCCGACUCACGCGGUGUUAAUGACUGGGGUGAAGUCGUAACAAGGUAACCAAGGGCGAA
This 578-nucleotide ribosomal RNA is filed under the name uncultured organism. RNAcentral's name for it is "bacterial SSU rRNA". It matches the Rfam family "Bacterial small subunit ribosomal RNA", at positions 926 to 1510 of the family's 1533-position model. The record is from RNAcentral.